CCUUAAUGAGCACUUGACUAAGCUUUGAUCUUCUUCUUGCUAACUCUUCUUCUUCCUUCUUGCUUAUGUGAAUAAUGAAAGACUAACUUAUGUUAACUUAUUCUCUCAACCAAAUAAGCUCUUAACUUAUAAGUGGGAUGAAAUGAAACAACCUCCAAAUGAAUGCAGAAGCUCCCUAUUUAUAGAAAUUCCUAGAUGAGGGUAUAAGGGACAUAAAGCCACUCCACCUCCUUAAUCACCUCCUUACUAUUCAUUGCUUUGCCCCUAAGUAAACUUGGCUUCCACACAAAAUACUUGGCCUCCAAAUCACUUAGCCAUUAAGUUAUCUUUCUCCCCAUAACACUUGAUCAUCACACUUACUUAAUCAUUAAGUAAUCUUGCUAAUCACAUAUAUGCACUUUGUGUGAUCACCACACUAACUUAGCCUUUAAGUUUACUUGAUUAGCACAUCAAUUUCUUGUCCACCACUUUGGACUAUCCAUGGUUUGCCCCAUGGUUUUAAACCAUCCCCUAACCCAUUGAAUUAUAGCUUGGGCCUUUAACUUAAUUAACUUAACCUAAUCAUUUGGGCUUGCAUUAAAUUGCUUUGGGCUUGUAAUUAAACAAACGUUGGGCUUGCAUUAAUAAACUCAUAUUGGACUUAACCAUCCAAUACUUGGGCUCACAUAAUACUUAACAAAUCCUACCAAUUUCUUACUUUUGGCUUAAAGCCUUAUAACAUAUAUUAUACGUAUAAUUCUCGUAUUCUAACUCGUAUACUAAUUCCACAUAUACGACAUACCAUUAUUCAUCAUACGUACUCGUAUGAUACCUCAUAUAGUAUUCGUAUUCCUUAUGUGACGCCCCCAAAACAUGUAUACAUCACCCAUCUUGAGUCACAAAAUACAUGGUACAAAAUUCAAAUACAACUUAAUUAUACAACAGUCGUUUAAAAUACGACAAAACAUAAUCUAAGAGUUUUAAUAAGAAUAUUGUCAUCUAGACAAUAUCCACACUCAAUGGAGUCCUCGUUACAUUUAUUGUCACACUAUUUAACAGAAUAGUGAGGACUACUAAUGCUAUCAUCUGGACCGUCACUCCGUUCCCUGACUAGUCCCAGCUACGUUCUCAUUUCCUGAAGAGAGCAGUGAAAGAAAGGGUGAGCUCAACUAGCCCAGUAAGAAAUAUUAUGACUAAGAUAAUGCAGAAUAAAUUAUCAUUAGCCUUCAACAGUAUAACAACUGAUAGAAUACAAUGGACAACAAGUUUUAGAUCAAAAACUGCAGCGGAAUAAGCAAUCCAUUAGAAGAGUCAAGUAAAUUAUAAAAUCUACUAUCUUCUAUUAUUUAAAAAGAUUUAUCAACAAUUUUAUCGGUGAGACUCAGCUUAAUAAAUAAUCCCCAUCAUUAAAUCAUCCAUGCACUACAGGCCAAGGAUAUUCUUUAGUAUCACGACCACGAAUUAUCCAUGCACUACAGGCCAAAGAUAAUUGUGUUUUCAUCAACGGUCCUGAUCAUGCCAUAAAAUAAUUCAUCUUUGCACCCUUGGCCGAAGAGAAUCCAUAGCCAUAAUCAUACCAAAAACUGUCCAUCAAUGCACUACGGGCCAAUGAGG
This 1593-nucleotide long non-coding RNA is filed under the name Panax ginseng (ginseng). RNAcentral's name for it is "long non-coding RNA (PGIN_LNC003459)". Lineage: Eukaryota; Viridiplantae; Streptophyta; Magnoliopsida; Apiales; Araliaceae. The record is from RNAcentral.